RNA transcript from Acinonyx jubatus (cheetah), 8441 nucleotides. It is a transcript of the gene named class I histocompatibility antigen, Gogo-B*0103 alpha chain-like, with no coding region annotated. The transcript is spliced from 9 exons. NCBI's taxonomy places the organism in Eukaryota, Metazoa, Chordata, Mammalia, Carnivora, Felidae. The record is from RefSeq and is a predicted model, not a curated record.
CUUGCCUGGAUACUCAUGACGCGGCCCCAGUUCGCACUCCCAUUGCUUGUCCUGUGUCUAGAGAAGCCAAUCAGCGUCACCGCGGUCCCUGGCCUGUCCUGGCCACGGACCCGCUGGGACUUCUAUUCUCCAGACCCUGAGGAUGCGGGUCGUGAUGCCCCGAACCCUCCUCUUGCUGCUGUCGGGGGCCCUGGCCGUGACCCAGACCUGCGCGGCCUCGGGGAGCCCCGGUACUUGGAAGUCGGCUACGUGGACGACACACAGUUCGCGCGGUUCGACAGCGACGCCUCGAGUCCGAGGACGGAGCCACGCGUGCAGUGGUUGAAGCAGGAGGCGCCGGAGUAUUGGGAGCAGGAGACGCGGGGCGCCAAGGACACUGCACAGACUUUCCGACUGAGCCUGAACACGCUGCGCGGCUACUACAACCAGAGCGAAGCCGGGUCUCACACCAUCCAGUGGCUGUCUUCCUGCGAAGUGGGGCCCGAUUGGCGCCUCCUCCGAGGAUACUGGCAGUUCGCCUAUGACGGCGAGGAUUACAUCGCCCUGAACGAGGACCUGCGCUCUUGGACCGCGGCGGACACGGCGGCGCAGAUCACCCGCCGCAAGUGGGAGGCUGCCGGAGCAGCCGAGCAUCAAAGGAACGACCUGCAGGUCACAUGCGUAGAGUGGCUCCGGAAGUCCUUGGAGAGGGGGAACAAGACGCUGCUGCGCACAGACUCCCCGAAGACACACAUCACCCACUACCCCACUUCUGACCAUGAUGUCACCCUGAAGUGCUGGGCCCUGGGUUUCUAUCCUGCGGAGAUCACCCUAACCUGGCAGCGUGAUGGGGAGGACCUGACCCAGGACACGGAGUUUGUGGACACUAGGCCUGGGGGAGAUGGGACCUUCCAGAAGUGGGUGGCUGUGGUGGUGCCUUCUGGAGAGGAGCAGAGAUACACGUGCCAUGUGCAGCAUGGGGGGUUGCCCAAGCCCCUCAUGCUGAAAUGGGAGUCCCCUCCUCAGUGCAGCAUUCCCAUGGUGGGCAUUGUUGCUGGUCUGGUUUCCUUUGUGGUCAUCAGUGCUGUGGUGGUUGGAGCUGUCAUAUGGAGGAGGUAGAGCCAAGGUGGAAGAGAAAGGAGUUAUGCUCAGUCUGCAUGUAGUGACAGUGCCCAGGGCUCUCUCCACUGCUAAAGUGUGAGCCAGCUGCCUCGUGGGGGACUGAGUGUUGCAAGAUUUGUUCACUUUCCCACUUUGUGACCAAUGCCCCUGAUAUCUCUUUCUACAAAGGGCUUUGGCAUGUGUCCUUGUUCCUAUUACCAUAAUGUGAGGAGGUUUUUUCUCAAGAAUGGAUGCUGUACAAGCGCCUGGGUGGCUCAGUCAGUUAAGCUUCAACUUUGGCUCAGCUCACGAUCUUGCAGUUUAUGAGUUCAAUCUCCGCAUCAGGCUCUGUACUGACAGAGUGGAGCCUGGAGCCUGCUUCGGAUUCUGUGUCUCCCUCUCUCUCUGCCCCUUCCCUGCUCACACUCUUUCUCUCAAAAAUGAAUAAGCAGUAAAAAAUAUUAAAAAAAAAGGAAUGUAUACUGUAUUUUGUCAAAUCCUUUUUCUGAAUCUAUUGACAGCAUCAUAUGGUUCUUAUCCUUUCUUUUAUUAAUGUGGUGCAUCACAUUGAUUGAUUUGUGAAUAUUGAACCACCUCUGCACCCCAGGAGUAAAUCCUACUUGAUCAUGGUGAGUAAUUCUUUUAAUGUUGGAUUCAAUUUGCUAAUAUCUUGCUGAGAACUUUUGCAUCCAUGUUUAUCAUGGAUAUUGGUCUGAAAUUCUCCUUUGUAGUGGGGUUUUUGUCUGGUUUUGGAAUCAAUAUAAUGCUGUCCUCAUAAAAGGUGUUUGGAAGUUUUCCUUCCAUUUCUAUUUUUUGGAACCGUUUGAGAAGAAUAGGUAUUAACUCUUCUUUAAAUGUUUGGUAGAAUUCCCCCGGGAAGCCAUGUGGUCUUGGACUAUUGUUUGUUGGGUAAUUUGUGAUUAAUGAUCAAUAUCUUUGCUGGUUAUGGGUUUGAUCAAAUUUUCUUCUUGUUUCAGUUGUGGUAGUUUGUAUGUUUCUAGGAAUAUAUCAUUUCUUCCAGAUAGCCCAAUUUGUUGGCGCAUAAAUUUUCCUAGUAUUCUCUUGUGAUUGUAUUUCUGUGGUGUUGGUUGUGAUCUCUCCUCUUUCAUUCAUGGUUUUGUUUAUUUGGGUCCUUUCUCUCUCUCAUAAGUCUGACUAAGGGUUUAUCAAUUUUAUUAAUUCUUUUAGCCCCUAGAGUGAAAGCUUCAGGACAUGUGUUUACCUUACACCCAGUCACUCCUCAGAACACUCUUCAGAAGCUGGUCUGUGUUGCGAUCUAUUCACCUCCUGAACACUGCUGGUUCAGAGUUUCCUGGGUACCUGAAGGGUGUUACACCGGUAUGGAACUCAGUAUGGAAAACUGUAAUCCUUAAAUUUCUGUAUGCUUUAACUUUCUUCUUUAUAAGUCUUGGCUUUAUAGUAAUAAAAUUGUUUUAAUUAAAAAAUAAUUCUUCCAAAGAACCAGCUCUUAGUUUCAUUGAUCUGUUCUACUCUUUGUUUGCUUCUAUAUCACUUAUUUUUCUCCUAAUCUUUAUUAUUUCCUCUAUUUCUGCUGGCUCUACACUUCAUUUGCUCUUCUUUUUCUAGCUCCUUUAGGUGUAAAGUUAGGUUGUGUUUUGCUUCUUGAGGUAGGCCUUAUUGCAAUAUACUUCCCUCUUAGGACCACCUAUGCUGCAUCCCAAAGGUUUUGGACUGUCAUGUUUUCAUUUUCACUUGCUUCCAUGUAUUUUUAAAAUUUCUUCUUUAAUUUCUUGGUUAACCCAUUCAUUCUUUAGUAGGAUAUUCUUUAAUCUCUAUGUAUUUGUGGUCUUUCUAAAUUUUUUCUUGUGGUUGACUUCAAGUUUCAUAGUGUUGCGGUCUUAAAAUGUGCAUGGUAUGAUCUUAAUCUUUUGUACUUGUUGAGGGCUGAUUUGUGACCCAGUAUGUGAUCUAUUCUGGAGAAUGUUCUUUGUGCACUCGAAAAGAAUGUGUAUUCUGCUGCUUUAGGAUGGAAUGUUCUGAAUAUAUCUGUUAGGUCCAUCCAGUCCAGGGUGUCAUUCAAAGCCAUUGUUUCCUUGUUGAUCUUCUACUUGGGUGAUCUGUCCAUUGUUGUAAGUGGGAUGUUAAAGUCCCUUACUAUUAUUGUGUUAUUAUCAAUGAGAUUUUCAAUGGUUAGUAUUAAUUGAUUUAUAUAUUUGGGUGUUCCAAGUUAGGGGGCAUAAUAUUUAUAAUUAUUAGAUCUUCUUGAUGGAUAGACCCUUUAAUUAUGAUAUAGUGCCCUUCUUCAUCUCUUGUUACAAUUUUUGUUUUAAAAUAUAGUUUGUCUGAUAUAAGUACAGCUACUCUGGCUUUCUUUUGAUGUCUGUUAACAUGAUAGAUGGUUCUCCAUCUCCUCAGUUUCAAUUUGUAGGUGUCUUUAGGUCUAAAAUGAGUCUCUUGUAGGUAGCAUAUAGAUGGAUCUUGCAUUUUUUAUCCAUUCUGAUACCCUAUGUUUUUUGAUUGGUACAUUUAGUCCACUUAUAUUCAGAGUAAUUAUUGAUAGAUAUGAACUUGGCCACUGCCAUACGGUGUUUCUGGUGAUGUUCUCUGUUCCUUUCUAGCCUUUGUUGCUUUUGGUCUUUCUUUCCCACUCAAAGCAUCCUCUUUCACCUUUAACAUGUCUUGCAGGGCUGGUUUAGUGAUCACAAACUCCUUUAGAUUUUGUUUGUCUGAGAAUCUGUUUAUCUCUCCUAUUCUGAAUGACAGCCUUGCUGGAUAGAGUAUUCUUGGCUGCAUGUUUUCCCCAUUCAGCACCUUGAAUAUAUCAUGGCACUCCCUUCUGGCCUGCCAAGUUUCUGUGAACAGACCUAUUGCAAAUCUGAUUUGUCUUUUCUUGUAGGUUAAUGACUUUUCUAUUGCUGCUUUCAGGAUUCUUUUCUUGUCUGUGUAUUUUGUGAAUUUGACUAUGAUAUGUCUUGGUGUGGGCCAGCUUUUAUUCAUUUUGAUGGGAGUUCUCUGUGCUUCUUGAAUUUUGAUGUCUGUUUUCUUCCCCAGAUUAGGGAACUUUUCAGCUAUCAUUGCUCAAAUAAACCUUCUCUCCCCUUUCAUUCUGUUCUUCUUCAGGGACUCCUAUGAUACCAAUAUUAAUACAUCUUAAGGGAUCACUGAGUUCCCUAAGUCUACAUUCAUGAUCUAAUACUUGUCUUUACCUCUUCUUUUCAGCUUCAUUAUUUUCCAUAAUUUUUCUUCUAUAUCACUGAUUUUUUUCCUCUGCUUCAUCCAUCCUUGUUGUAAUUGUGUCCAGUCAAUUUUGUAUAUCAGGUAUAGUACUUUUUAUUUUGGCCUGAGUAGUUUUUAGUUAUUUUAUCUCUUUGGUAAGGGACUGUCUAGUGUUUUCUAUGCUUUUUCAAGGCCAGCUAGUAUCUUUAUGAUUGUUGUUUUCAAUUCUAGUUCAGGCAUCUUAUAUCAGUUUUCAUUAAACCCCUGGCCAUUACUUCUCCCUGUUCUUUCUUUUGGGGUGAAUCCCUCCAUCUUGUUAUUUUUUCUAGGUCACUUCUUUUUUGUGUGAAUGUUAGGAAAGUCUGUUAUAUUCCUGCUCCUGAGAAUAGUGGCUAUAUUAAGAAGAGGUCUUAUACCGUCUUGGGCCUGGUGCUUCAGGAGGUGUUUCAGAUUGUGCAUUCUGCUGUUGUGUUUUGGCUGUUCCUUCCCUCAAGUCAGUCCUCUGCAGAGUUUCUUCUUGCCUGUGUGUGGGGUGUUUGGACCUUGUCCACUGUGUGGCAAAUUUUAACCAGGUAUGUUUUGGUCUGCUUGGUAGAAGAAGCUAGAUCCUGUUUCCCCUAGAGCUGAAUCUUUGAAGCACUCUAUGAUCAUAGACUUGGUGCGUGCCAGGGGUUUGUGCUGGUAUUCUGGGGGAGGGGCCUGCUGCACUGAUUCUCUGGUGGACAUGCCCUUCGUGGAAAUGCACCUGCAGGACACAGGGGGAUGGGGCUUUGUGUAAGCCUUCACUGGGGGGUACUGUGUUGCUCACUGAAGUCAGUCAGUGCUGAUGGGGGGGGGGGAUGGCAUCGUUCUGUUCUCUCCUCCAGGGAGCAGGGAGUUCACGCCUGCCAGUCUUCAGGAAACCCCCACAGAAAAGCACACAAUGACCCCUCUUGUGUCCCUGGUUUCCAUCAGAUCCCUGCCUUCACCCUGUCUGUGUCUAAGCUGUCUGUCUACCAGGCUGCACAGUACUCCCAUGUUUCAUCUCAGGCAUGCAGCUGGGUUUCAAAACUCCAGAUUUUAAGGAUUUGUACAGCUCAGACUCAUACUGAGCCUCUGAGGGAGGAUCUUGCCACACUGUGAUCUGUGCUGGUUUGUCCAGAAAACAGUUGCAUGAAUGCACAGAGGUUUGGCGUUUAUGGUAAAGUGCAGCAAAAAGCUGGUACCAAGGUUUGCUACCUUCAACCGGUGUCUUUGUUCCUAUGCUAGUGAACAGGGCAGCACUUUGGUGGUGCUAGUUCUUUUGUCCUUGGAGAUGCCAUGCCGCUACUCCCAAAUACACUCCUAGAAAGGCAACUGUUUCAACCUGAGCGAUCCAAGGGAGCCUCAGACUACACUGUCUGCUCCUGGGUCUCCACCCUCCUUCCCUUCCAGAGCACUACUGAGCCUGCCAGGCAAGACCCCAGUGAUGGUGCAGAUUUCUAAAACCUCAGAAUUUGAGCUCCACUGCUUGUAAAAACUUGCAAUAGUGAGCCCCUCUCCUUUGGUUUUGGGGAAGUGUUUUUCUUUCUUUUUUUUUUUUUUUCAACGUUUAUUUAUUUUUGGGACAGAGAGAGACAGAGCAUGAACGGGGGAGGGGCAGAGAGAGAGGGAGACACAGAAUUGGAACCAGGCUCCAGGCUCUGAGCCAUCAGCCCAGAGCCGGACGCGGGGCUCGAACUCAUGGACCGCGAGAUCGUGACCUGGCUGAAGUCGGACGCUUAACCGACUGCGCCACUCAGGCGCCCCGGGAAGUGUUUUUCUUGUGCAAUCCCCUGCGCGUGCUUUCUCUCUCUCUCUGUCUGGCUCCUCUCUUGGUGACCAGGACUCUCUCCCCUCUGCAGCACCUGAAAUUCUCCCCCCCACCCCAUCAACUUUCCAUAGCUCCUAUCUUCCAUGAUGUGCUGUUUUUCUGCCUCUGGUUGUGUAGUCUUUAGGUUAAUUUCUUGCGUGUUCAGAAUGAUUUGAUCUUUAUCUAGCUGUGUUCAAGGGACAAGGUAAGCUUAGGGUUGCCCCUACUCCUCUCCCAUCUUAACUCCUUCUCUUGCAAAUUAUAUAUCUGAUAAGGGGUUAAUACCCCAAAGAUAUAAUUAACGCAUACUGUUUAACAUCAAACCUCCCAAACAAUAUGAUUAAAAAAUGGGCAGAAGAUGGGGCAUCUGAGUGGCUCAGUCAGUUAAGCAUCCAACUUCAGUUCAGGUCAUGAUCUCAUGGUUCAGGAGUUAGAGCCCCGCGUUGAGUUCUGUGCUGACAGCUCAGAGCUUGGAGCCUGCUUCAGAUUCUGUGUCUUCUUCUCUCUCUGCCCCUCCCCAACCUGCACUCUCUCUCUCUUUCUCUCUCUCUCUCUCAAAAAGUAACUAAACAUUAAGAAAAUUUAAAAAAAUGGGCAGAGGAUUUGAAUAGACAUUUUCCCAUUGAAGCAGGCAAAUAGCCAACACACAAAUGAAAAGAUGUUCAAAAUCACUACUCAUCAAGGAAAUGCAAAUCAAAACCACAAUGAGAUAUCACCUCACACCUGUCAGAAUGGCCAACAUUAACAACUCAGGCAACAACAGAUGUUGGCAAAGAUGCAGAGAAAGAGGAUCUCUUUUGCACUGCUGUUGGGAAUGCAAACUGGUGAAGCCACUCUGGAAAAGAGUAUGGAGGUUCCUCAAAAAAAUCAAAAAUAGAACUAUCCUACGACUCAGCAAUUGCACUACUAGGUAUUUAUCCAAGGGAUACAGGUGUGCUGUUUUGAAGGGGCACAUGCUAUAAACCAAAGUAGUCCUAAGAGGAAAGUAUAUUGCAACACAGGUCUUCCUCAAGAAGAAAGAAAAGCCUCAAAUACCCAACCUAACCUUAUACCUAAAGGAGUUAGAAAAGGAACAGAAAGCAAAGCCUAAAGCCAGCAGAAGGGAAAUAAUAAAGACUAGAGCAGAAAUAAACAAUAUAGAAACAAACAAAACAAAAUAAAACAACAACAAAAUAACAGAAACAGAUCAAUGAAACUAGGCUGGUUAUUCAAAAAAAUUAAUAAAAUUGAUAACCCCCUAGCUAGACUAAUCAAAAAGAAGAGAUAUAACCCAAAUAAAUAAAAUUGUGAAUGAAAGAGGAGAGAUAACAACCAACACCACGGAAAUGCAAACAAUUAUAAGAGAAUAUUAUGAACAAUUAUAUGCCAACAAACUGGGAAAUAUGAAAGAAAUGGAUAAAUUCCUAGAAACAUACAACCUGCAAAAACUGAAACAAGAAGAAGUAGAAAAUUUGAACAGAUGCAUAAUUAGCAAAUAAAUUGAAUCAGUAAUCAAAAAUUUCCCACCAAACAACAGUCCAGGGCCAGAUAGCUUCCCAGGGGAAUUUUACCAAACAUUUAAAGAAGAAUUAAUACCUAUUCUUCUCAAACUGUUCCAAAAAAUAGAAAUGAAAGGAAAACUUCCAAACUCAUUCUACAAGCUUAGCAUUACCUUAAUUCCAAAACCAGACAAAGACCCCACUAAAAAAGAGAAUUAUAACCAAUAUCCCUGAUGAAACUGGAUGCAAAAAUUUUCAACAAAACACUAGCAAAUUGAAUUCAACAGUACAUUAAAAGAAUUAUUCACAAUGACCCAGUGGAACUUAUUCCUGGGCUGCAGGGCUGGUUCAAUAUUUGCAAAUCCAUCAAGGUGAUGCUCUCAUUAAUAAAAGCAAAGAACAAUAUGAUCUCAAUAGAUGCAGAAAAAGCAUUUGACAAAAUACACCAUCCUUUCUUGAUAAAAACCCUCCAGAAAACAGGGAUAGGAGGAACAUACUUCAACAUCAUAAAGGCCAUAUAUGAAAGACCCAUUUGGAAUUCUCUGUGUCUCUCUCUCUCUGCCUCUCCCCCACUCACUUUCUCUCUCAAAAUAAAUAAACAACAACAAAAAUAUUCUCUCUUUCCCUCUGCCCCCUCCCCAACUCGUGCAAGCACUGUCUCUAAAAUUAAAAUAAAUCUUAAAAGUAAAAUACAACUAAGAGGCACCUGGGUGGCUCAGUUGGUGAAGCAUCUGACUUCAGCUCAGGUCAUGAUCUUGAGGUUCAUGAGUUCUAUCCCUGAGUCAGGCUCUGUGCUGACACCUCAGAACCUGGAGCCUGCUUUGGAUUCUGUGUCUCCCUCUCUCUCUGCCCCUCCGCUGCUUGCACCUCUGUCUCUGUCUCUGUCUCUGUCUCUC